GGGGUUGUGGCUCAGCGGUAGAGCCCUCAUCUAGCACAUGUGAGGCACUGGGUUCAAUCCUCAGCACCACA
This 71-nucleotide transfer RNA is filed under the name Marmota monax (woodchuck). RNAcentral's name for it is "tRNA.Ala". It matches the Rfam family "tRNA". Rfam says of the family: Transfer RNA (tRNA) molecules are approximately 80 nucleotides in length. Their secondary structure includes four short double-helical elements and three loops (D, anti-codon, and T loops). Further hydrogen bonds mediate the characteristic L-shaped molecular structure. tRNAs have two regions of fundamental functional importance: the anti-codon, which is responsible for specific mRNA codon recognition, and the 3' end, to which the tRNAs corresponding amino acid is attached (by aminoacyl-tRNA synthetases). tRNAs cope with the degeneracy of the genetic code in two manners: having more than one tRNA (with a specific anti-codon) for a particular amino acid; and 'wobble' base-pairing, i.e. permitting non-standard base-pairing at the 3rd anti-codon position. The record is from RNAcentral. Lineage: Eukaryota; Metazoa; Chordata; Mammalia; Rodentia; Sciuridae.